AGAAGAAGAAGGACAAGAAGAAGAAGAAGAAGAAAAAGAAGGAUUCUUCUUCUUCAUCAAGCUCCUCAAGUGAUUCUUCUAGUGAUGAUGAUAAGAAGAAAAAGAAGAAGAAGGAUAAGAAGAAAAAGAAGAAGAAAGACAAGAAAAAGGAUUCCAGUUCCUCUUCGGGUUCUUC
Molecule: non-coding RNA, 175 nt
Organism: Maylandia zebra (zebra mbuna)
Lineage: Eukaryota; Metazoa; Chordata; Actinopteri; Cichliformes; Cichlidae
Source: RefSeq, a predicted model, not a curated record